GAACUGAAGAGUUUGAUCCUGGCUCAGAUUGAACGCUGGCGGCAUGCCUUACACAUGCAAGUCGAACGGUAACGCGGGGCAACCUGGCGACGAGUGGCGAACGGGUGAGUAAUACAUCGGAACGU
RNAcentral lists this ribosomal RNA (125 nucleotides) under Rubrivivax sp. RNAcentral describes it as "partial 16S ribosomal RNA". It matches the Rfam family "Bacterial small subunit ribosomal RNA", at positions 1 to 127 of the family's 1533-position model. The record is from RNAcentral. Lineage: Bacteria; Pseudomonadati; Pseudomonadota; Betaproteobacteria; Burkholderiales; Sphaerotilaceae.